RNAcentral lists this ribosomal RNA (445 nucleotides) under uncultured bacterium. RNAcentral describes it as "bacterial SSU rRNA". It matches the Rfam family "Bacterial small subunit ribosomal RNA", at positions 330 to 792 of the family's 1533-position model. The record is from RNAcentral.
ACCAGACUCCUACGGGAGGCAGCAGUAGGGAAUCUUCCACAAUGGGCGAAACCCUGAUGCAGCAACGCCGCGUGAGUGAAGAAGUCAUUCGUGAUGUAAAGCUCUCUCAGCAGGGAAGAAAAUGACGGUACCUGACUAAGAAGCCCCGGCUAACUACGUGCCAGCAGCCGCGGUAAUACGUAGGGGGCAAGCGUUAUCCGGAUUUACUGGGUGUAAAGGGAGCGUAGACGGCAGCGCAAGUCUGAAGUGAAAUGCCGGGGCUUAACCCCGGAACUGCUUUGGAAACUGUGCAGCUAGAGUGCAGGAGAGGUAAGUGGAAUUCCUAGUGUAGCGGUGAAAUGCGUAGAUAUUAGGAGGAACACCAGUGGCGAAGGCGGCUUACUGGACUGUAACUGACGUUGAGGCUCGAAAGCGUGGGGAGCAAACAGGAUUAGAUACCCUCGUA